UACGGAGGAUCCGAGCGUUAUCCGGAUUUAUUGGGUUUAAAGGGUGCGCAGGCGGGAUGUUAAGUCGGCGGUGAAAUUUUGCAGCUCAACUGUAAAAGUGCCUUCGAUACUGGCUUCCUUGAGUGUGGAUGAAGUAGGCGGAAUUUGUGGUGUAGCGGUGAAAUGCUUAGAUAUCACGAGGAACUCCGAUUGCGCAGGCAGCUUACUAAACCACUACUGACGCUCAUGCACGAAGGCGUGGGGAUCAAACAGGAUUAGAUACCCU
This 265-nucleotide ribosomal RNA is filed under the name uncultured prokaryote. RNAcentral's name for it is "partial 16S ribosomal RNA". It matches the Rfam family "Bacterial small subunit ribosomal RNA", at positions 524 to 788 of the family's 1533-position model. The record is from RNAcentral.